CAAUCCUCCCCAAGUUCAUCCAUGUAUUUGAAAGGUACUAACCGGAAUGUAUGUGGCAGAGAUGCUGCUGUCCAUGUGAAGUUUCCAGAAGGCUGGAAUUGGACAAAGUGACCUGUACAGAUUUGUGUUUUGGAGAUUUCCCAUCCCCUUCUAUCACAGUCAACGCUUCAGAGGGAAGCAGCAACACCUCAUCACGGAAAAGCUACGUGGCCAUCAAAGGAUUAGUGCAAGCUCCUGCUCAGGGUUUGGGUUUUUCUGCCAUUAGGGAUUACCUCAUGAUUAGCAAGCUGGGAGGCACUGGUGAACAUGACUGUCUGGAAUUCCUUUAUAUAAUAAAAAUACUGCCACUAUUGUCAUCAGAAUAUUUUUGAGCAUUGAGUGUAUCUCCCUGUUGCAGCACUGGUUUAACUACAAUAUUUCUUGAAAAUAAUUUUGAUUGUGAUGUUUUAGAAAAUGAUCAGCUACCAGCUGCAAACACUAAAAGGCUGAGAACACAGAGAAGAAAUAUUUUGCACCAGAACAAGUUUAAUCCUAGGAACACCUGGCUUCUUGGAUAAAUGUAAGCUUAUUCAUACUUUGGUAGAAGUUCUGCAGUAAAGCUACAAUCCUACAAUCUUCUUGGUGAUGAGCUCAAACAAAGCAAGGGACUUGCUUGGAAAAGGAAAAAAAUGUGUGGUCAGAUAAUAGAUGCAAAAUGAAAGAAUCUGAGAGAUUGAAGGUACCAAAAAGUUGAGCCAGAAUUUUUGCAGACAGUUUUGCAGCACUCUGAACUAGCAGUGAUCUCAGAUGUUUAAUUUCAGUGGAGAAAUAGUAAAAAAGCACCAAAAAAUUACAAAACCCCUUCCUGAACUGCUGGGUUCAGGAGAUUCUGUGCAUUUAGAAAUCCAUGUUCUGAAAUGCUGCCUAAAAUUGCCUGGAUUUUUAUGCAUACUGGUACUACCUGCAAGUAUGAAAAAGUAUUGCCCUAGUCAUGAUACUGGGGCCUUAGAGCUAGCAUACAGUGGCACUAAGAGGUACAGCCCUGAUUUUCUCUUGUAAGUGGCCUAGGUUUGUGCCAAGAAACACAGGUUAAAAUGAUUCUCCUAACACUCUGAGUAGGAUUCAAGGACUUUGGAAAAAUGCAGCAGAGCCAGUCUCCAAAGAAGUACUCCUCAGACUUUUCUAAAGAGACAGACCAGGUGGCAGUGCUGUGGGGAUCCAUGCCAUUAGAGAUGAACAAGUAAUUCACUUUCAUACCUCUUGCUUUGGGGACCAGAGCCCAUGUCACCUGGCGGGGCAGUCCCAGAAGAGUCAUCUGCCUGCUGGCUGCAGCCCCUCAGAGACUACACAAUGCACCUGGCACAUGAAAUAUCUGUGGGGCCUCACAUUCCU
Molecule: long non-coding RNA, 1371 nt
Filed under: Parus major (Great Tit)
Lineage: Eukaryota; Metazoa; Chordata; Aves; Passeriformes; Paridae
Description: lncRNA (ENSPMJG00000008323.1)
Source: RNAcentral